RNAcentral lists this ribosomal RNA (406 nucleotides) under uncultured bacterium. Its description in RNAcentral is "partial 16S ribosomal RNA". It matches the Rfam family "Bacterial small subunit ribosomal RNA", at positions 29 to 526 of the family's 1533-position model. The record is from RNAcentral.
AUUGAACGCUGGCGGCAGGCCUAACACAUGCAAGUCGAACGAGUGGCGGACGGGUGAGUAAUGUCUGGGAAACUGCCAGAUGGAGGGGGAUAACUACUGGAAACGGUAGCUAAUACCGCAUACCAUCAGAUGUGCCCAGAUGGGAUUAGCUUGUUGGUGGGGUAACGGCUCACCAAGGCGACGAUCCCUAGCUGGUCUGAGAGGAUGACCAGGCACACUGGAACUGAAACACGGGCCAGGCUCCUACAGGAUGCGGCAGUGGGGAAUAGUGCAAAAUGGGCGCAAGGUUGAUACAGCCGUGCCGAGUGUAUGGAGGAGGCCAGCGGGGUGUAGAGUAAUUUCAGCGGGGAGGCGUUACCCGCAGAAGAAGCACCGGCUAACUCCGUGCCAGCAGCCGCGGUAAUAC